This 1327-nucleotide long non-coding RNA is filed under the name Mytilus galloprovincialis (Mediterranean mussel). Lineage: Eukaryota; Metazoa; Mollusca; Bivalvia; Mytilida; Mytilidae. The record is from RNAcentral.
GUGCAAUAUUACUAUGAUUGAAAUCAAAGAUAAGACAACACUUGCUAAAAAUGGUUUUCAUAUUUUAUCUCAUCCUAGUAUAUGCUUAUUGUCUUUACAUCCAUAACCGUAAGUCCAUUUUACAAAUAGUACACAAGAAAUCUAUAUAUUACAAUGCACUUACAAAAUAUAUUACAAGGGAAAUGCAAAAUAACACAUCUAAACAACCGCUGAACUCUAUUGCUUGGAAAAAGGAAGAGGGACAUGAGACAUUAUUUGCCCCCUUAAAUUGCAAAAAUAUUAAAAGAGAGGCGAAAGAUAUCACAUUGACAUUCAAGCACAUCAGUCAGAGUAAACUGAAAGCGCCAUGGCUUAACUUAUUAAAGUCAAUUUCAUUGAUAAAUAAACAGGUUGAUGUAAUCUACAAUCUGAAGUAAAAAUCACUUAUAAUGUCACUAUGACAUUUUAAACAUGUAGAAAUAUUUUAUAAACCAAAGGGACAUUUCACUCAUAAAUUUGGGUCAACAUAUAGAUUAAUAUCUUCUAGCUAUAUAAAGGUUGUUUUUCGGUAGAAAUUAUAUUACUUUUUUUCGAAUUGAAAGGGCAAGAAAAUUCCAUAAUACCUUCUCAUUUUUACCAUUAAAUCGUCAGUACUAGAUUUACAUAAUAUUUCGAAUAGAUAACCAAAAAACAUGGUUAUUUUAAUACUAGCGUAAUUAACUAGUAGGCCAUUUAAAUAAAUACAAGUACAGUCAUUACAAGUGAAGUACAAGCAAUUUAUUCUGAUUUAUUAUUAGAAGUUUUACCAAAACAGUUAUUUGGUAUAAUUACAUGUCUAAGUAAUGUUUCUGGGAAAAUUUUCACCAUCACUCAAAUAAUACUGACGUAUGUGUACAGUUAAUAUCUUUUGUCAGAAUUUCAUAACUUAAUUAUUAGAUAACAGCUUUUGAAUUGACUGUUGUCUUGAUAUUUUUUAUAAAUGAAACUAGAGGCUCUAAAGAGCCUGUGUCGCUCGCCUUGGUCUAUGUGAAUAUUAAAGGAAGCAGAUGGAUUAAUGACAAAAUUGUGUUUUGGUGAUGGUGAUGUGUUUGUACAUCUUACUUUACUGAACAUUCUUGCUGCUUAAAAUUAUCUCUAUCUAUAAUGAACUUGGCCCAUUAGUUUCAGUGGAAAAUGUUAGUAAAAAUUUACAAAUUUUAUGAAAUUGUUAAAAUUGACUAUAAAGAACAAUAACUCCUAAGGGGGUCAUUGACCAUUUCGGUCAUGUUGACUUAUUUGUAAAUCUUACUUUGCUGAACAUUAUUGUUGUUUACAAUUUAUCUCUAUCAAUAAUAAUAUUCAAGAUAAU